CCUACGGGGGGCAGCAGUGGGGAAUAUUGCACAAUGGGGGAAACCCUGAUGCAGCGACGCCGCGUGAGUGAAGAAGUCUUUCUGUACGUAAAGCUCUAUCAGCAGGGAAGAAAAUUACGGUACCUGACUAAUACUCCCCGGCUAACGACGUACCAGCCGCCGCGGUAAUACGGAGGGGGCAAGCGUUAUCCGGAUUUACUGGGUGUAAGGGGAGCGUAGACGGCAGCGCAAGUCUGGAGUGAAAUCCCAUGGCUUAACCAUGGAACUGCUUUGGAAACUGUGCAGCUGGAGUGCAGGAGAGGUAAGCGGAAUUCCUAGUGUAGCGGUGAAAUGCGUAGAUAUUAGGAGGAACACCAGUGGCGAAGGCGGCUUACUGGACUGUAACUGACGUUGAGGCUCGAAAGCGUGGGGAGCAAACAGGAUUAGAUACCCGGGUAGUC
Molecule: ribosomal RNA, 440 nt
Filed under: uncultured bacterium
Lineage: Bacteria
Description: partial 16S ribosomal RNA
Rfam family: Bacterial small subunit ribosomal RNA
Source: RNAcentral